UACGUAGGGUGCGAGCGUUAAUCGGAAUUACUGGGCGUAAAGCGUGCGCAGGCGGUUUGUUAAGACAGAUGUGAAAUCCCCGGGCUUAACCUGGGAACUGCAUUUGUGACUGGCAAGCUAGAGUAUGGCAGAGGGGGGUAGAAUUCCACGUGUAGCAGUGAAAUGCGUAGAUAUCAGGAGGAACACCGGUGGCGAAGGCGGCUACCUGGACAGAAACUGACGCUGAGGCACGAAAGCUAGGGGAGCAAACAGG
Molecule: ribosomal RNA, 253 nt
Filed under: uncultured bacterium
Lineage: Bacteria
Description: partial 16S ribosomal RNA
Rfam family: Bacterial small subunit ribosomal RNA
Source: RNAcentral